GAUGAACGCUGGCGGCGUGCCUAAUACAUGCAAGUCGAGCGAACAGACGAGGAGCUUGCUCCUUCGACGUUAGCGGCGGACGGGUGAGUAACACGUAGGUAACCUACCUAUAAGACUGGGAUAACUUCGGGAAACCGGAGCUAUACCGGAUAAUAUUUCGAACCGCAUGGUUCGAUAGUGAAAGAUGGCUUUGCUAUCACUUAUAGAUGGACCUGCGCCGUAUUAGCUAGUUGGUAAGGUAACGGCUUACCAAGGCAACGAUACGUAGCCGACCUGAGAGGGUGAUCGGCCACACUGGAACUGAGACACGGUCCAGACUCCUACGGGAGGCAGCAGUAGGGAAUCUUCCGCAAUGGGCGAAAGCCUGACGGAGCAACGCCGCGUGAGUGAUGAAGGUCUUCGGAUCGUAAAACUCUGUUAUUAGGGAAGAACAAACGUGUAAGUAACUGUGCACGUCUUGACGGUACCUAAUCAGAAAGCCACGGCUAACUACGUG
This 496-nucleotide ribosomal RNA is filed under the name uncultured bacterium. Its description in RNAcentral is "partial 16S ribosomal RNA". It matches the Rfam family "Bacterial small subunit ribosomal RNA", at positions 28 to 507 of the family's 1533-position model. The record is from RNAcentral.